Molecule: ribosomal RNA, 496 nt
Filed under: uncultured bacterium
Lineage: Bacteria
Description: partial 16S ribosomal RNA
Rfam family: Bacterial small subunit ribosomal RNA
Source: RNAcentral
AUGAACGCUGGCGGCGUGCCUAAUCCCUGCCAGUCGGGCGCACAGACGAGGAGCUUGCUCCUCUGACGUUAGCGGCGGACGGGUGAGUAACACGUGGAUAACCUACCUAUAAGACUGGGAUAACUUCGGGAAACCGGAGCUAAUACCGGAUAAUAUAUUGAACCGCAUGGUUCAAUAGUGAAAGACGGUUUUGCUGUCACUUAUAGAUGGAUCCGCGCCGCAUUAGCUAGUUGGUAAGGUAACGGCUUACCAAGGCAACGAUGCGUAGCCGACCUGAGAGGGUGAUCGGCCACACUGGAACUGAGACACGGUCCAGACUCCUACGGGAGGCAGCAGUAGGGAAUCUUCCGCAAUGGGCGAAAGCUUGACGGAGCAACGCCGCGUGAGUGAUGAAGGUCUUCGGAUCGUAAAACUCUGUUAUUAGGGAAGAACAAAUGUGUAAGUAACUAUGCACGUCUUGACGGUACCUAAUCAGAAAGCCACGGCUAACUACGUG